GGAAGAUUUUCAUUCCUGUGGUCGACUCUCAGAUGUGUGAAUGGAAUGAACUAUGUGGUCAAGGUGUUGGUUGAUGAACAUGGGGAUGGGAGUGUGUGUUCAUGCAAUGAUAAAACUUUCCUGUAAUGGAGGGAAACCAAGUGUGACUGGAAUCAAGUUCCAUAAAACCUUUGAUGACCCACUGAUCCACUUCUGAAAACUUACAGAAAUAGUCUGUCUUUAUUUAAUAACAGACACAUGUAAUGAGAGGAACUAGUGAAAUAGUUUCAAUCCUCAAUAUUAAACUGUAUUCAAGUC
Molecule: long non-coding RNA, 297 nt
Organism: Cyprinus carpio (common carp)
Lineage: Eukaryota; Metazoa; Chordata; Actinopteri; Cypriniformes; Cyprinidae
Exons: 2
Source: RefSeq, a predicted model, not a curated record